This 650-nucleotide ribosomal RNA is filed under the name uncultured fungus. Its description in RNAcentral is "eukaryotic LSU rRNA". It matches the Rfam family "Eukaryotic large subunit ribosomal RNA", at positions 23 to 641 of the family's 3401-position model. Lineage: Eukaryota; Fungi. The record is from RNAcentral.
ACCCGCUGAACUUAAGCAUAUCAAUAAGCGGAGGAAAAGAAACCAACAGGGAUUGCCUCAGUAACGGCGAGUGAAGCGGCAAGAGCUCAAAUUUAAAAGCCGACGUAGCUUUAAGAGACGUCCGCAUUGUAAUUUGAAGAGGCAUUCUCGGGUCGGGGCUCAGGCCUAAGUUCCUUGGAAGAGGGCGUCGUGGAGGGUGAGAACCCCGUUCGCGGCCUGCUGUCGACCUUUCCCCGAUCCACACGAGGUGCCAUCGAAGAGUCGAGUUGUUUGGGAAUGCAGCUCAAAGCGGGUGGUAAAUUCCAUCUAAAGCUAAAUAUUGACGGGAGACCGAUAGCGAACAAGUAGAGUGAUCGAAAGAUGAAAAGCACUUUGGAAGGAGAGUUAAACAGCACGUGAAAUUGUUGAAAGGGAAGCGCUUGAGACCAGUCACGGACCGAGGCGAUCAGUGGGACGUCCCUCUCGGGGGAGGAACCGCGCACUCGCUUUUCGGGUUUUCCGGGUCAACAUCGGUUGGGACGGUGUCAGAAAGGUCGCGGGAACGUGGCUCCCUUCACGGGGAGUGUUAUAGCCCGUGGCGUCAAAGUCGCCAGUUUCGACCGAGGACCGCGCUCGUCUUUUUCGAGCAAGGAUGUUGACGUAAUGGUCCC